This 415-nucleotide ribosomal RNA is filed under the name Microbacterium sp. F31. RNAcentral's name for it is "bacterial SSU rRNA". It matches the Rfam family "Bacterial small subunit ribosomal RNA", at positions 117 to 546 of the family's 1533-position model. The record is from RNAcentral. Lineage: Bacteria; Bacillati; Actinomycetota; Actinomycetes; Micrococcales; Microbacteriaceae.
GUGAGCAACCUGCCCUGGACUCUGGGAUAAGCGCUGGAAACGGUGUCUAAUACUGGAUAUGAGGCGUGAUCGCAUGGUCAUGUUUGGAAAGAUUUUUCGGUCUGGGAUGGGCUCGCGGCCUAUCAGCUUGUUGGUGAGGUAAUGGCUCACCAAGGCGUCGACGGGUAGCCGGCCUGAGAGGGUGACCGGCCACACUGGGACUGAGACACGGCCCAGACUCCUACGGGAGGCAGCAGUGGGGAAUAUUGCACAAUGGGCGCAAGCCUGAUGCAGCAACGCCGCGUGAGGGAUGACGGCCUUCGGGUUGUAAACCUCUUUUAGCAGGGAAGAAGCGUGAGUGACGGUACCUGCAGAAAAAGCGCCGGCUAACUACGUGCCAGCAGCCGCGGUAAUACGUAGGGCGCAAGCGUUAUCC